UACGGAGGGGGCUAGCGUUGUUCGGAAUUACUGGGCGUAAAGCGCACGUAGGCGGCUUUGUAAGUUAGAGGUGAAAGCCCGGGGCUCAACUCCGAAAUUGCCUUUAAGACUGCAUCGCUAGAAUUGUGGAGAGGUAAGUGGAAUUCCGAGUGUAGAGGUGAAAUUCGUAGAUAUUCGGAAGAACACCAGUGGCGAAGGCGACUUACUGGACACAUAUUGACGCUGAGGUGCGAAAGCGUGGGGAGCAAACAGG
This 253-nucleotide ribosomal RNA is filed under the name uncultured bacterium. Its description in RNAcentral is "partial 16S ribosomal RNA". It matches the Rfam family "Bacterial small subunit ribosomal RNA", at positions 524 to 776 of the family's 1533-position model. The record is from RNAcentral.